This is a long non-coding RNA of Carcharodon carcharias (great white shark), 2624 nucleotides long. RefSeq lists it as uncharacterized. Lineage: Eukaryota; Metazoa; Chordata; Chondrichthyes; Lamniformes; Lamnidae. The record is from RefSeq and is a predicted model, not a curated record. The transcript has 3 exons.
GUGGGUCUGGUGCACUCCCGCCCGCUCAGAGAAAAAUUCUGCCCUGUGGUUACUUCUGGUUAUGUAACUGAAUGUGUGAUUAUAACACUGCCUGUCCGAUGGAAAAUUGGGCAAGUGAAAAGUUAAAAUCAGCUGCAGGACUUACACGCCAACACCCCACUCUGUUCCUGCUAUCUUCUGUUUUAACCUGGUCUUCUGGCAGCAGGGUGACCACCUCAAACUAUCGGAGUCUUUCUGUAAGAAUGCAGACCAGGGUCUGAUAACUCAUUGAGCCUUGACUGCAAAUUUAAUUGGUGGCGGGAGUGAGAAGCCAUUGUGGAUUUUACUGCUGGAUGAACCUUUGAGGAGGGGACCCAAGCCAGAAGAGAUCCAAAGAGAUUUCCAACAUCUGCAGUACUUUGGUUUUGACCUAGUUAACAGCAACCAGCAUGUGUUCAGCAGGGGAAAUAAUCUACCUGGCAACCUGCUUGACUACGAUGGGGCAGUGAACUGUGGUAAAAGUCCAAAAGUCAUAUCCUUGUUGAUGAUAUGAAAACUGUGGGAAUUUUGAGAACCCUUCAAUCCUGGCAUGGCUUUCCGCUAUUUUCCUGGAUCACCCAGCCUCCUAGCCCACCAUGGGGGCUGGGGACGUUCAGUCCCUCAUGUGAGCGGUCUGACUUAUGAGAGAAGAUUGAAGACACUUGAGCUUUCCGAUACAGAAAGAAUAUGAUUCUGAGAUUUUUUUUGUGGAGGUGUACACAGUUGUUAAAGGAAUGGAGAAAGUAAACACAAAAUAUUUCUUUAAAUUCAACUUUGGGUGUAAAUCAAACAAGUGAAAGCUAACUUUAGGACUCAUAUAAAGACAUUUUUCUUCACACAAGGAAUGAUCAACAUAUGAAAUGAGCUUCCAGAAAGACUAGUGGAUGCAAAAAGCUUGGAAUCAUUUACAAAAUAAAUGUAAGCUCCAAACAGAAACUUAAGGAUUUCCCUGGAUGGAUGAAAUAAGAUUGGUCAAGUGGCCUUCCUCAUCUAUUUCCCUGGUAUGUAGCAGUUCAUUUGUUCAUUAUCACCAUUGACUUAGUGGGGCCAUUAGCAUUGCUUUGCUUCUUCUCUGGCUUUCUUCAAGCCUCUCUCAGUCCAUAUCUCAAUGUUAUCCACUCAUCCAAUUUUUCUUCUACAUCUGUUUUUGCCCUCAAUUUCUCCUUUGAUUGUUGCCAGGACAAAGCUGUCAGGUCUUUGUUUCUAAAGUUCGUACUUAACUACCUUUCUCUCUCUCUAACUGUACUUGAUUCCUGACCUUCUACUCUUGAUCUAACCCACUCAUUUGUCUAUCUGUCCACCCAGCUGAUUCUGAGCAUCCUCCGCCAUACCCACAUUUCAAAAGCUGUUAGUCCCCUCUCAUCCUCUUUCUUCAGGGUCCAACUCUCACAUCCAUAGAAUGCAACUCUCCACACUAGUAACAGCACAAGAUAUUUUUUCAACUUCAUGCUGAUGCUUCUAAGCUUCCAGACCCUGCUUAAGAUACCGGUCAUGCUUCUCACCAUUGCUAAUCUAAUGUGGCUUUCAUUCUUUGAUGUAACUUUGGUGUGUAUCAUUGAACCAAGGCACUUGAAAUUGUUUAUUGCCUCUAGCUCAGUGCUUCCAAUUUUGACUUUUCCAUUGUCAUUUAGAGCCAUAACAUUGGGCUUUGCCUCAUUCAUGUUCAGUCCAAAAAGACUGACUGCGUCUUUUGACUAGGUCUGCCCUAAUCUUUUAGCUCUCUUUUUGUCCUAGCUAUGAGUGCAGUGUUGUCUGCAUACCUGAGGCUUCGUAUGCUACUACGUCCUCUGUCUGGGAACUCUUCCUGCACCAUCCUCAUUACCUUCUCCCACACAACAUUAAACAGCCUGGAUAACAGAAGCUGUAGCAGGGCUAAGUAAAGAAACAGAAAAUAUUGAGUUUUAUAGCAUAUAGAAUAGGAAACAAGUCACAACCAGCUAGUGUAGGGCAUUAAUCCAUAUCUAAUGGGCUACUAUAUGCAAUUUGGUUGUGAUAUUUAAGGAAGGACACCAUGGCACUGAAAUAAAGGCAGCAAAAUGAUGUUUGUUUGAGGCUUGGAUUCAGAUACCGGAACCACAAAGUGAAGCGACAAAAGCUUAUUUACACUAGGGAAGAGAGAUUUACAAAGGAUCUUAUUGAGGUAGUCAAGGUGUUUAAAGAUAUUGGCCAGUUCAGUCCUGAGAAACUGUUUACUGAUCGCAAUAAGAGAAUCACAAUGAGAAGCCAUUUGAUGAGUGAAAAUGAAUAGGCAGAUCAGAUCUAACUACCAUACAGAAAGUGAUAGAUGUUUAGAAUAGACUGCCAGGGAAAGAUUGAGAGCUGAUAGCAUAAGAGAUUUUGAGCCAGUUUGGCAAGAGAAUCAGUUGAGGGAUUUAGGUAGUGAACUAUUUACUCAGAACUCUAGGCUGGUCAAAUGGACGUGGAUAAUCUUCUUGGACAGCUUAUUACUCAGGUGGCAAAGUUAUUCCCAACAUGUUAAAAUUAUCAGUGAUGUUCCAUGGGAAAGAGGGAUUAUAUAUUUUAAGAUAGACAUGUAAAAUUACUUGUGUUUUUUGUACACAAAAAAAAAAUUAAAAAUCAAUAAAGUCAUAAACACUGAUGUAAAA